Molecule: ribosomal RNA, 463 nt
Filed under: uncultured bacterium
Lineage: Bacteria
Description: partial 16S ribosomal RNA
Rfam family: Bacterial small subunit ribosomal RNA
Source: RNAcentral
GACGAACGCUGGCGGCGUGCUUAACACAUGCAAGUCGAGCGGUAAGGCCCUUCGGGGUACCCGAGCGGCGAACGGGUGAGUAACACGUGAGUAAUCUGCCCAUCACUUCGGGAUAACUCCGGGAAACCGGUGCUAAUACCGAAUAUGACCACUUCAGGCAUCUGAUGGUGGUGGAAAGUUCCGGCGGUGAUGGAUGAGCUCGCGGCCUAUCAGCUUGUUGGUGGGGUAGUGGCCUACCAAGGCUUCGACGGGUAGCCGGCCUGAGAGGGUGACCGGCCACACUGGGACUGAGGCACGGCCCAGACUCCUACGGGAGGCAGCAGUGGGGAAUAUUGGACAAUGGGCGAAAGCCUGAUCCAGCAACGCCGCGUGAGGGAUGACGGCCUUCGGGUUGUAAACCUCUUUCAGCAGGGACGAAGCGCAAGUGACGGUACCUGCAGAAGAAGCACCGGCCAACUACGUG